RNAcentral lists this ribosomal RNA (32 nucleotides) under Phytophthora sp. P82 (B13A). RNAcentral describes it as "partial 28S ribosomal RNA". The record is from RNAcentral. Lineage: Eukaryota; Oomycota; Peronosporomycetes; Peronosporales; Peronosporaceae.
CAAUGGACCUAAUCAGUUAAUGCAACGCUAGG